UGGGGAAUAUUGCACAAUGGGCGAAAGCCUGAUGCAGCAACGCCGCGUGAAGGAAGAAGGUUUCGGCUCGUAAACUUCUAUCAACAGGGACGAAAGAAAUGACGGUACCUGAAUAAGAAGCCCCGGCUAACUACGUGCC
RNAcentral lists this ribosomal RNA (139 nucleotides) under uncultured bacterium. Its description in RNAcentral is "partial 16S ribosomal RNA". It matches the Rfam family "Bacterial small subunit ribosomal RNA", at positions 355 to 509 of the family's 1533-position model. The record is from RNAcentral.